CCUACGGGAGGCAGCAGUGAGGAAUAUUGUUCAAUGGCCGUAAGGCUGAACCAGCCAAGUCGCGUGAAGGAAGACGGAUCUAUGGGUUGUAAACUUCUUUUGUAGGGGGGUAAAGGUAUACACGCGUGUCUAUUUGCAAGUACCCUACGAAUAAGCAUCGGCUAACUCCGUGCCAGCAGCCGCGGUAAUACGGAGGAUGCAAGCGUUAUCCGGAUUUAUUGGGUUUAAAGGGUGCGUAGGUGGUCUUUUAAGUUAGCGGUGAAAUUUUGUGGCUCAACCAACGAAUUGCCGUUGAUACUGGCAGGCUAGAGUUUGGUUGCGGUAGGCGGAAUGUGUGGUGUAGCGGUGAAAUGCAUAGAGAUCACACAGAACUCCGAUUGCGAAGGCAGCUUACUAAGCUACAACUGACGCUGAGGCACGAAAGCGUGGGGAUCAAACAGGAUUAGAUACCCCAGUAGUC
This 460-nucleotide ribosomal RNA is filed under the name uncultured bacterium. Its description in RNAcentral is "partial 16S ribosomal RNA". It matches the Rfam family "Bacterial small subunit ribosomal RNA", at positions 338 to 795 of the family's 1533-position model. The record is from RNAcentral.